This 279-nucleotide ribosomal RNA is filed under the name uncultured bacterium. RNAcentral's name for it is "partial 16S ribosomal RNA". It matches the Rfam family "Bacterial small subunit ribosomal RNA", at positions 506 to 784 of the family's 1533-position model. The record is from RNAcentral.
UGCCAGCCGCCGCGGUAAGACGGAGGGUCCUAGCGUUGUUCGGAAUGACUGGGCGUAAAGGGUACGUAGGCGGUUUGGUCAGUUAGAUGUGAAAGCCCAGGGCUCAACCUUGGAACUGCAUUUAAUACUGCCAGACUUGAGAUCGGAAGAGGAAAGCGGAAUUCCGAGUGUAGGAGUGAAAUCCGUAGAUAUUCGGAGGAACACCGGUGGCGAAGGCGGCUUCCUGGACCGAUACUGACGCUGAGACGCGAAAGCGUGGGGAGCGAACAGGAUUAGAUA